AUUAGGUCAACUCUUAACCUAAUCGGGUCCAACCCAACUGAAUCCAAUUUAAUUGGACUUGAUCCAAAAAUAAUUACUCAAUCAAAUUGAGUUAAUUAAUGAUCAAAUCACUAAUAAAACCUCUCAUAAAUACUUUGUGCAAAUCUGAUGGGCAAUCGGGCAUCAGAAUUCAUCGAUAUGUAACCCUGAUCGAAAAGUCCCAACCAGUGGGACUCUUGACCCC
RNAcentral lists this long non-coding RNA (223 nucleotides) under Elaeis guineensis (African oil palm). RNAcentral describes it as "long non-coding RNA (EGUI_LNC075957)". Lineage: Eukaryota; Viridiplantae; Streptophyta; Magnoliopsida; Arecales; Arecaceae. The record is from RNAcentral.